UAUUAUAAAUCUUAAAUGUAAGAGUUGAUGUUUUAAAUCAAAAAAUGAUAUAUUAACACAUAAUUA
RNAcentral lists this transfer RNA (66 nucleotides) under Heterospilus sp. RNAcentral describes it as "tRNA-Lys". The record is from RNAcentral. Lineage: Eukaryota; Metazoa; Arthropoda; Insecta; Hymenoptera; Braconidae.